Vitis riparia (riverbank grape) is the source of this 580-nucleotide long non-coding RNA. RefSeq lists it as uncharacterized. The transcript is spliced from 2 exons. Lineage: Eukaryota; Viridiplantae; Streptophyta; Magnoliopsida; Vitales; Vitaceae. The record is from RefSeq and is a predicted model, not a curated record.
AUUCAGCUAUGAGAUUGAAGGUAUACAUGGUUCACCUCAAGACAGUUAAGAGAGAAAAUUGAACGUAACACCAUUCUGACAGUCUUCAUACUCUUAUUCAUGAUUGUUUUUCAUGUAUGAGUUUGAAGGUUGGAUUAUGAUGGUCUACAUGCGGGAAGACAUCCAAAAUAAACAUGUUUGCAGUAUUAUCCAUUGGAAAAAGCAUAGCAUACAGCUCGUGGAAGGCAAUUCCUUCUCAAAGAGUUCUGCAAACCAUUCUUAAAGGCAAACAAUCAUACUGCAUUCGUGUUUGGGCAAUAUUUGGAUCCAAAGACUCGUGAAAUCCAAGGUAACCUUUGAAACCUGUUCUUACCUCAAGCUUUUGAUAAUAUGGCCAUGAUCUGUCAUUACGUGCAAUUAUCCCCACUUCCCAGGAUAUCUACAUUCUACAAUCCACAAAUAUAGUCCCUCAGUGCAAAUCCACUCACACCCACCUCCAUCCCAGGGCCGGUUUAAACAGAGACAGGAGUGAACCUAUUAACCCUUUGUUUGCAACUUAUAUUUGCCUCUAUGCUAUAUAAUUGAGGGUUGUAAGUGAGAA